Molecule: long non-coding RNA, 1000 nt
Organism: Lotus japonicus
Lineage: Eukaryota; Viridiplantae; Streptophyta; Magnoliopsida; Fabales; Fabaceae
Exons: 5
Source: RefSeq, a predicted model, not a curated record
AAAAAAUAAAAGAAAUUGACUACCCACUAAGUCAUAAAACCCGUCCAGUACCACUUCCUUCUUCCUUUCUUCUAUUCGCAGCGCCGCCUCUGUUCCUUUCUUCCUCAAGUCUGAAUUCUCCCCCACCAAAGAACCACUAAACCCCUCCAUUAAUCCACAGCCUUGAACCAAAUUACCAUUCGGCCAGUGAAGAGACUUUGGGUAUUAAUUUGAGUGUUAGGGAUUGGUGCUCCAAGGAAGGAGGAGUAGGGUAUUCAUCGGAUCAAGGUGACACCAUUGAUUCCAUUGAGAUUCGACGACGAUAGGGUCGUUCGGUGGUCGUAGGAUUGCUUUAUUGCUGGAAGCAAUUGUGGUUAUUCUUCAUAGUUCGCCGCCUCUGUUCCUUUCUUCCUCAAGUCUGAAUUCUCCCCCACCAAAGAACCACUAAACCCCUCCAUUAAUCCACAGCCUUGAACCAAAUUACCAUUCGGCCAGUGAAGAGACUUUGGGUAUUAAUUUGAGUGUUAGGGAUUGGUGCUCCAAGGAAGGAGGAGUAGGGUAUUCAUCGGAUCAAGGUGACACCAUUGAUUCCAUUGAGAUUCGACGGCGAUAGGGUCGUUCGGUGGUCGUAGGAUUGCUUUAUUGCUGGAAGCAAUUGUGGUUAUUCUUCAUAGUUAUUUUCAGGCAACUGAGUAGCAGACUGUUGUCAGAUUCAGACCAUUCGACUUAUUUCCUUUAGCAGGUUGUCAUAUUGGUGUCUUUUAUUUAAUCCUGGUUAUCUGCAGCUAUAGGGAGUCCUAGGUGGAUUUAGAUUUGGGAUUGUGAUUUAUUGUUAUAUUUUAAGAGUUGGCACUUGAGUGCUCGAGUUGAUUUUAUAUUUCACUUAAAAUGCUGGUUAUGGAAGAACUUAUUGGCAGAUGUUGUUAAUUUGUAACUAUUGGAAUUACAAAAGAGAUUCUAGUGCUUUUAUAUAUGUGUACAAAGACAUUUCGAAUAAAUUGUUUGGAAAAUGAUUCUAUGA